GAGAACAAGGUUAACAAACUGCA
This 23-nucleotide non-coding RNA is filed under the name Arabidopsis thaliana (thale cress). Lineage: Eukaryota; Viridiplantae; Streptophyta; Magnoliopsida; Brassicales; Brassicaceae. The record is from RNAcentral.